UUGGGUGAAACCAAAAAGAGGUGUAUCAUUGUUAAUGAUAAUAUUGAAUUAUAUUCCACCCAAG
RNAcentral lists this transfer RNA (64 nucleotides) under Kalotermes flavicollis. Its description in RNAcentral is "tRNA-Asn". Lineage: Eukaryota; Metazoa; Arthropoda; Insecta; Blattodea; Kalotermitidae. The record is from RNAcentral.